UUGUGACUCAGCUGAAACAGAAGACAAGAAAGUGGAUCUGGGCAAACCUCCACUCAACGAAUCCAGCAGAAGAGUCUAUGAGUCUUCCAACAGACCCCAAACUGGUCCUUUUUCACUUUGUAGAGAGGUGUGGAAACGGAGGACAUCUAGCCAAGGUAAAUCAUUUACCCAGGAUCCUCAGCUGGCAAGUGGUGGAGCCAGGAUUCAAACUCAAGCUUUGGCUUUAGAGGCCACGCCUGCGGUCCCUACAACCAGCGCAAUGGACAACGCAGAUAAGUGCCGUGGGGGAACACGCAGGUGAGGAACUUGGGGGUGGGACUCGGGUCCAGGGUGGGCUGUGGAAACAGCUGGAUAUGGGUUGUAAAGUUGCUCUGCUGCUCAUUCACUGUGGGGAACCCUGAGGCUCCACUGUUUUCUAAAGCAA
This 424-nucleotide long non-coding RNA is filed under the name Callithrix jacchus (white-tufted-ear marmoset). RNAcentral describes it as "lncRNA (ENSCJAG00000078631.1)". Lineage: Eukaryota; Metazoa; Chordata; Mammalia; Primates; Cebidae. The record is from RNAcentral.